CGAAGGGGGCUAGCGUUGUUCGGAAUUACUGGGCGUAAAGCGCACGUAGGCGGAUAUUUAAGUCAGGGGUGAAAUCCCGCAGCUCAACUGCGGAACUGCCUUUGAUACUGGGUAUCUUGAGUAUGGAAGAGGUUAGUGGAAUUGCGAGUGUAGAGGUGAAAUUCGUAGAUAUUCGCAGGAACACCAGUGGCGAAGGCGGCUAACUGGUCCAUAACUGACGCUGAGGUGCGAAAGCGUGGGGGAGCAAACAGGAUU
This 255-nucleotide ribosomal RNA is filed under the name uncultured bacterium. Its description in RNAcentral is "partial 16S ribosomal RNA". It matches the Rfam family "Bacterial small subunit ribosomal RNA", at positions 526 to 779 of the family's 1533-position model. The record is from RNAcentral.